CUCUCCCCAGCAGGGGCACGCGGACCGACGUUUGUUCCUCCGUGUGACCUUUCCUUUGUGACUGUCCAUCUGGGAAGCGUAAAUAAUCAUACGCGCGCAUCAGUACCAACAGCGGGGCAUGGACCUGGAGAUGGCUGGCAGGAUGAUCUGGCUUCAUGCAGUCAGCUGAUGUGCCACUGCCAUCUGUUUGUUUGUUUGUUUGAAGUAGGGAAGGAAGUUUUAUCAAGUAACACCCUCCCUCUCCCCAGCUAGGAAACACCCAGGAUUCUAACAGGGAGUCCUGGGUAGGGACAGGGGAACAGGCAGAGAAGAGGAGAUGAAGACAACCAGAAGAGGCUGGGGUGAGACAGGGCAGUGAGGAAGAAGAAAACAAAACAACAAAAAAAAGAGGCUCUGCUGCUAGCUGAUAUUAUGACCUUGGGAGAAUCCUUUCAUCCCCCUGAACUUGGCAAAAAUGAAGAAACUAUAUAGCAUAUUGCUUAAGCGGUGGGCUCUAAGGCCAAACCCUGGAUUCUUCUCUACUCUACUACUUCCCAGCUGUGUGAGCCUGGGCAAUUACCUUAUGCUCUCUGAGCUAGUUUCCUCACCAUUUAAAUGGGCAUGUUAGAGUUGUCAUGAGAUUUAGACAAAAUAAGGAAAGCACUUAGUAAAGGACUUGGCACAUAUUAAAUGUUUAAUAUAUUAGCUAUUGUUCUUAUCUGUCUCCAGGGUAGGCUAAUGGAAUGCACACAGACAAUAUUUUUAUCUUGAUCUCAUAUAUAUAACAGCUCAUAUAUUUUUUUGUUUAUAUCAUGCAUGCUCAAGUUCUUUAAUAUAUAAUGGCUUUUCAUGAGAAUCCUAAUAUCUUGCCUUAUUUGUUUUAAGGUUAUUGUGGGCAAAUGUUUUAGAGGAAAGGGAGAUGAACCAGAUAGUGAUACACUAUCGUUUCCUACACAAAUAAAAUAGUUUAUUGUAGAUGUUAGGAUUUAGCACUUAUUACAUAUUUUGAAGACUGUUAAUUUCCUUCUCCAUCUUUCCACUUUUAUUCUAGAUUUCUUCUUGGCACAGCCUAGUUGUUGCUGUAUUAAUAACCCAGAAAUCUCAUUGGCUUAACAUAACACAAGUUUACUUUUCAUACACAUGAUAUGUCCUGUGUGAAUUGGCAGAGGCUUGCUGCACAUUGGUCUCUCAGAAACUCAAGAUGGAGGCUCCAUAUUCAUGUGCCUCCAUGUUCACCACUGCUGGGGGAAGAGAAUGUCUCAUAUUAUGCACUGGUCCUUAAGGUUCCACUAAAGUAACACAAGGGCAGUUCUCUGAAGCUGAACUGCUUCAUUAAGUGCCGAGUCUUCCUUUUCUAGAUGUGAUUUUUCUUAGUUAUCUACUCACCUUUUUCUUGAGUUGGGUUUCGGAGAAAGUAUGGUAAAAAUAAUAAGCCAAUGGUGAUUUUUUCCCCCCAGCAUUAAAUUAGGGCCCUUUUUACUCUCACAAGGGAUUUUGGUACCAGUGAGAGGAGGACGUAUUUUAUUUUCUCAAAGUUUCUCCCUCUUCACUCAUUUUCAAUGUACUGUUUUCCUAAAUUCCUGGUUUUCUGAAAUCCUCAAGGAAAGAAACAUGAAAGAUUCACACUCUGUCAUCAUCACCUACUACAAAAACUUGGUUGGCAUGUGGUUAUCUCCCACAUUCAACCCAAACUACCCCUGUGUGGUAGCCUAGGCAAGUGAGAUGCUUUCAGGGGUCUGACCCACCUCUUCAUUUCAUGCACCUAGUCAGAAUGGCUGUGGAAUGGGUAUGACAGGAGAAAUGGACAUCGGUAAAGCAGAUGGGUCAUUCACUCAGCAAACAUUAAUUGAGCACCUAGUAUAUGCUGAGCACUGGGCCAGUUCUUCUAAGUCACCAUAGUGAUUCAGUUGGACUCUGAUCUUAGCUAGGGAAGAAAGCAAGUAUGGGUUUUCCCAGAGAGCAGUCUGAUGCAGUGUGACCCUAUGACUUCUCCACCUUUGUAACAUACACUGUCUGCUCAGGAAGAUUUAUCUACUGGUGGAUUCUGGAAGGAUCCCAAACUCACCAUGCUCACUGUUGCUAGCCAAGCUUCCGUUACUUCCCUCCCUCCACCAAGACUCAACGUCAAUCCAGAUCCUACCCAUCUUUGGAAGUCAGCUGAAGACUUAUGCCUUUUCUCAGCUCCGUAGGCUUCCAAAAUUCAUCCAGCUCCUAUCUUCAGAAACCUUAUUGGACACACCAUCUCUGCAACUUGUUUGGACAACUAUCUAAUAUGUUUUAUUACUUAAACAUUUUAUUUUGGGGGGCUAGUAUCUUUAUAUCAGGUUUCUUUAAGCUUUAAGAAAAGGAUCUUGUUUCUUCUUGAAUUGAUGGAUAAAAAAUGACUAUCCCAUAGAAGGUAUUCAAUGGCUAAAUUCCGCUCAAUGUCUAGUCUUUCAGUAAUAGAUGUUUGAUAAGUACACAUCAAAUAGAAGUAAACUUGACAUUGCUCUUUUUUCUUUUUCAAGGAAGAUGGAAAGAGAAGCUAUGACUGCCCUUAUUCCUAUGGCUUUGCCUCCUUGCUUUCUAGCUUGGGCACAUGAGAAUUUUCAAGGUAGUUUAGGUGGUUGUAAAGCAAGAUCAAUACAAGUCAGAGGAUGCUAACCACUAUUGUGUCUAAACACUGACAUCUGGGAUGCCAGGUCUUCGGUUCUUUCAUUUGUCAUCAUCUUUUUCAGGCACUUUGGUGGGCAAAGAUCAUGGUUCACUUUUUUUAACCACUAAGAUGUGGAGAGAAUAAGAUGGAUGCAAAAGAUGAAUUCAAGCAAAGUUUAUUAUAAAAUUAUAUGAGGAAUUUGAUGUCUUUACUAAAACCUAUUACAAAAUGUGUGUAGUUUUCGCAAGGGAAAAAAGUCUUUAAUUGCGUCAAAAAACUGUAGAAACAAGGGGGUUGAAGUGACAUGCAUGAAGGGAGUCUUCUUGGUCUUGACCAAUUAAUUUUGCAGCCCGUUCUUAGUUCCUGUUUCUGAGUGGCCCCUCCUCAGCCUCCCAUGCAUGAGGAUUUACUGGUGCCCUGAUUCCAUAACUUAACUUUCUUCCUCUCGUUUUCUUUUGGGCACUAAUAUCUAAUGGAGUUAGGCUGCAAUAACACAGUUUGUCCCUGUCUAACAUGCAGUGUUAUGUCUGAGCGUUUUGACUGAGCAGAAUAAAUUAGUGUCUUGUUUUAUUAGUAGUACAAGUUCAGAAGAGUAGGUUUAUUUAAAGUGAGAGAUAAGCUGCAUAGUAAAGGAAAAGACUGAAUGAAAAUGUCACUUGUUGAAAGAAGUUGCUUAGUUUUCUGCCACUCUCCCACUGGGCCAAGCUUCCUCCUUACCGGGAUCUAUGUGCAGGCAGUUUUCAAUAUCCUAAGCAAGAAAAUGGAUCAUAUUUUCAACUCCAUUAUAUGCCUUCUUCCUCAUUUCUGAUCUUAAGGGCAGUGUAGAAAAUUAUCGUUCUUCAUUAUUUGAGGGGGGUGGUUGUGAUCUUUUCUUCUUGGAAGUCCCCAUCUCCGGCUCAGCAAUUCCUCCAACUUUCCUGCUCUUAUGCUCCCCCUCCCCCCACUCAGUUCAUUUGACCCCACUCGGAGGCCUUAGAGAGGCUUCCAGUGGCUCUGCAAAGGAGGCCUGAGGGUCUCACCUUCUGUUCUGAAGGCUAAGGCUUCUUCUCUUAUUCUGCACAAUUCCCUCCACUCUGAGUCUGAUUUCCCUCAAGACAUACCUAGUCUCAGUGUUCCAGCCACUGUUUUCUUCUUCCCACACUUCUAGAAAUUUCCCAUUGUUUUAUGAGGCCUUUCCCAACUGCUUGGGAACAGAGUGGCUCUCUCUCCUGGAAAGUCAUCAAGUGGCUUCCCUGCCACUCAUUACUUCUUACCUAAUAAGAAUGAUAAUAGUAGAGAUAAUAGCAAUUGCUAACACUUAUAUAGCACUUAUGUGCCCUUCACAGCCCUAAGCAUUUUACAUAAGCUAACUGAUUAAAUUUGGCCACAAUCUUUUGAGGUGGUUUGAUGGUUACUUUUUUUUUUUUAAAUUUUAUUUACUCACUUGACAGAGAGAGAGAGAGCGAGAGAGAGAGCGAGCACACAAGGAGGCAGAAUGGCAGGCAGAGGGAGAAGCACACUCCCCGCUGAGCAAGGAGCCUGAUGUGUGGCUCCAUCCUAGGAUCCUGGGAUCAUGACCUGAGCCGAAGGCAGAUGCUUAACCUACUGAGCCACCCAGGUGCUCCUGAUGGUUAAUUUUAUGUGUCAACUUGGCUAGGUGAGGGUCCCCAGAUAGGUAGUCAAACAUCACUCUGGAUGUUUUUGUGAGGGUGUUUUUCAUGAAAUUAACAUUUAAAUCCAUGGACUUUGAAUAAAAACCCAUAAUUGGGUGGGCCUCAUCCAAUCAGUUGAAGGCCUGAAUAGACCAAAAGUCAGGCCUCCCCUGAGCAAGAGAGAAUUUUGCCAGCAGAUAGUCUUCAGACAUGAACUGCAACAUCGCUCUUCCCUGAGUCUCCAGCCUGCUGGCCCACUCUGCAGAUUUUGGACUUGUCAGCCUCCAUAACUGUAUGAGUCAAUUCCUUAAAAUCUCUUUCUAUAUAUAGAAAUAGGAUUUAUACAUGUCUUAUUAGUUCUAUUUCUCUGGUGAACCCUGACUGAUACCAGUGUGUAUUUUCAUGAUUAUUCUAUUUUACAGAUGUGACAACUGGGGCACAGAGAAGUUAGGUAACUUGCCCAAGGUCAUCAGUACUAGUAAGUGGUACAGUUGAGAUUCUAUCUGACUCCUGGGUGUAUACUUUUCACCAUGAGAUUAAAUAUAUGCCAUUUAUAUUGUAUUCAGAGUUGUUUAUCAGUCUCUUUUAUAUAUGUUUUAUUUUUAUUUUUUCUGGAUUAUUUAUGUUUUCCUUUUGUCAGUUUUGAGUAAGCUGAAUCUGCCCAUCUGAUGAAUGUGACAUGUAGAGAACCAGCCUAGACUUUUGGAAGAGUUUAGGGCAGUUGCAUGAAUGGUGCUCGCUGUAAAGGCAGUUAGUGAUUCAGAUUGUCUGCUUCUUGACCAUUUUCCUUUCUUUCUGAUCAUUAUCUCAAAACUAAGAUCCCGUAAUUUCACUACUGGACAAAAUUUUAGGCAGUGUUUUAGAAUUGUAUUUUGGUUUCCCUAAGCAAAUAUUUCAGAAUAAAAGAUAGUCAACAUUUUAGGAGAGUUGGGUCUUUAGAGGUUUAAGUGUAUAUGAUACACUUUCUGUAAAUUGUAAAGCAUAAACACUAAUAGGGGUUAAAACCAUCCUUGCUAUUUUGAAGCAAACAGAAUCCCUCCAGGAAAUAGAACUGGGCCACCGAGUCUGAGGAGACCCCAAGCUGUGGAAACAGUGUCCCCCCCUUGGCCCUUUGAUGGAGUCUCAUUUCCUCCGGGUGAAAGUGUGGGAGCCGGUUUCCUACUGUAACAUUCACGCUUGCUCUUCCUUAUGCAUCGUCUCAAUGGAAUUGUAUUUAAAGAUCCACGUCUUCUCCAUCCCAUUUACGCGGUGGGCCAACUGAGAAGUGUCUGAGGCCACAUGAGGAGUCUGCUCUGCAACCCACCCACAUUCUGUGUUGCUGCCUCUCGCUCUUGUCUCCUGGUGCAAAGAUGCUGAUAUAAAUACAGUUCUGUAUUUAUACAUAGCCAAGAGAAAGAGUUUAGGGAAGAUGGACAGAAGAAUCUGAGUCACUUCUAAUGCUGAGAUUGGCCCUUGGAAAUUUCCUCCCCAGCCUCAGCACUGCCCUUUUCUAGAUGAUGCCAGCAGGCUGGGUCUGAGGACCCAGAGAGGAUCUCACAGGACCAGCCAAGAGGGUCUUUGGCUUCCUGAAGGAUGGAAAUCAAAGGACCGGUCUCCAGUAAAGAGGUGAUACUUGGGGCAUUCCAGUGAAGGAAGGCCCAGCUUCAGGCCUGGACUGGCCUGGGAAAUGCCAACCUGGCAGUUCUGAGUCAAAGAAAACCCUGCCCACCGCUGACCACAGCUCCACCACAGGACCUGAGCUCUCCGGAGUGGAGCACGAAAUCAGCAUUUCUCUUCACCCUGCCUGGGCUGGAGAUCAGCUCCCAAGGUGAAGUGGGAACCUCUGGACAACAGGAUCCAGAGCCUGGCUCCACGGGAUGAGAUGUCAGCUCCUGCUUCCAAGGAACCAAAGAGCAGUCACUCAUCGAAGCCACGUUGGAACAUCUCUGGGCCAGACUCUGCCCGAACUGGCAGAUGGGGAAGCUGACAUCCAGGGAGGUUGACUUUGUCCGAGCAGGAACGUGGAAUUGACUCAGAUUUUCUAGCAGUCAGCCCCUCCGCCUCCCGAGAUCUGUCUUCCUCGAUUUUCACUUCAUCGUUCUGCAUGAACUUUCUACCAUUCUCACAGACCAAACCAAAAUCUCCACAGAAAUCCCUGUAAGUCUGCUAAGAUUAAGAAUAACCACAGACAUUUAAUGGAUUUGGCCACAGAAAGUACCUACUUCUUCCUAAGAGACUUUCCACAUCUUGACUAUGAGUCUCUGUUUUAUCCUGAAGUGAUGGGGAAGCGUCCCAGAUUCAGACUCCAAGAAGGAACACAGACGUUUUAGCAGGGUCUCAGCCAUUUUCAAGCCCAGAGCGUGAGGCCAAGAGGCGAGGGGGUGUUCGGCAAAUGUGAGCCACGAACGGGCCAGAGCUGUUUGGUGGGAUUUGUAACUAAAAAGAGACUUCAGACCAUCUGACUAAAUGCUAAUGGAUUGGUCUGAGACAGGUUUUAAAAAGACACGAUUUUAUCUACUCCUUACAGAGUUUACAGGUUCUGAUGACUGGCCCUUUCUUUUUGCUGGGCCUGUGUUACCAGGCCAAAUAACCUCGCUGCGUUGGUUACUGGUUUCAAGUUACUUGCAGAUGGCUGGAGGCAGAUGAAAGCCGCCCAGAGGUGCUCCUCCUUCUCUCCUCUAGUCCCCAGACCGUGGUGCCAUGUGCUGACGCUCGGAUACUUGUUUUACAGUAUCAUUUGACAAGUGGGAUUUAUGUGUCAAAAUUUCCGCGAAAGCCAAGAAAGUGUCAGAGAAAGCAAAGAGAGGCAGCAUGAGAAAACGGGGAGUAGGCGGGUUAUAGGGUGUCAAAUCCUAACCGUACCAAGCACACAGGGGGAUUAACCUGGCUGCCCAAAGCCACAGAUUUCUUGGGUGUGUUUUUGUUCACUGCGGUUCCUGUCUUUAUCAUCAAGGAAACAACAUCGUAAAAUUGAGACCUUUUCCCUGAAUGCAUUAAUAAAGAUAACUUCUUGGUCCAGCUCCAAAACCACUGGAGCCACAUUUAAUUGACUGCGUUUAUUGUUUGGGGAUCUCGUAUACUGAGGUGCUCAGGGCCACAGUAACAACUGUGGAAGCCAUGACAGUAGGUGCAAGAGGAGACGUUCCUGGUCUUUCUUGGAAUCUUCCAAAUGCCCCAGGUACAAAAUCUUCCCAAGUUCUUACAUUCCAUUGAGCUUUCCCCAGGUUUUCACCUUGUGGCUAUUUUAAAGGAGGAAACACAUAUAAACGCACAAAUAAUUCCUUAAACCUUACCCCAGACUCUUAGAGCUUCCUGUCAAGUCCGACGCAAGAUAACUUACCCUGUUCUUAACCCUUCUUUUGAGAAAACGCGAGGGAGAAAAGGCAAGAGAUUUUGAAUGUCUCAGUUCCCCACAAGCCCCGUGUGUUGCUCGCCAUAUUAAGAGCAUGUGUGCAUUACUUCAUAAACUAUCAGAUGACAUGCAUCUUUAUUUAGACUCAAUAAAGAAAAAUAAUGAGUUAUGCAAAGUUAUUUCAGACACAGGGCAAAAUAGCUUUGCAAAAAGGCACUAUUCACGGGGGCCAGCCCAGCCUGGCUCAGGGACCAUCAUCUAUUAGCUCCAAAUAAAUUCAGGAAAGAGGUACAGCUGUGGACACCUUGUCAUGUGCCAAGUGUAAUAAGUAGGUUAUGAACAAGUCACGAUAAAACAUAAUAACAAUUGCCUUUAUUCUCUCCAUUCCAUCCCUCUCUGUGGAUUAAAAGCCUCCAAGGUCAGAAUCAACUACCUAGGGGCAUGUUAGGAAGUCUGAAUGUACGUCUUCCCUAAAUUUAUGAACGACAGAACAUCGCAGUGGCCGUCAGCCUGGGGUUUGAAAACAUCUAAACUGAAAAUACUGAAAUUUAGCCAAAGAAUAUAGACUCUCCUUCCCCUCAAAUAUGGGGAUUUUGUUCAAUGGCAGUGUAGAUGGAGCCUAGAUCCAAGUCAAGACAGGCUCAGAUGAACACUUAGUUUUAUUUAAGAAGAAGGGACAAAUAUUUUGAUUUUAGGGGAUGUCAUCCCUCUGUGUUUUCUCUCAACCUUCCUAUGUGAAAUGCAGAGUGUGUUUUCUGCCAGGAUCCGGGGGCCUCACAGUGCCUAUUUUUCUGAUGUGCGGAGAGCUACGUAAUUUCCCGCAGUGGAAAUGGUGUUUGGGGAGGAAUUUCAUGUGUGCAGUUGCUACUUAGUUAAAAAAGAA
Mirounga angustirostris (Northern elephant seal) is the source of this 8459-nucleotide long non-coding RNA. RefSeq lists it as uncharacterized. The record is from RefSeq and is a predicted model, not a curated record. The transcript has 6 exons. Lineage: Eukaryota; Metazoa; Chordata; Mammalia; Carnivora; Phocidae.